UACGUAGGCAGCGAGCGUUGUUCGGAGUUACUGGGCGUAAAGUGUGUGUAGGCGGUUGUUUAAGUUUGGUGUGAAAUCUCCCGGCUCAACUGGGAGGGUGCGCCGAAUACUGAAUGACUCGAGUGCGGGAGAGGAGAGUGGAAUUCCCGGUGUAGUGGUGAAAUGCGUAGAUAUCGGGAGGAACACCAGUGGCGAAGGCGACUACCUGGCCUGUUCUUGACGCUGAGGCGCGAAAGCUAGGGGAGCAAACGGG
Molecule: ribosomal RNA, 253 nt
Filed under: uncultured bacterium
Lineage: Bacteria
Description: partial 16S ribosomal RNA
Rfam family: Bacterial small subunit ribosomal RNA
Source: RNAcentral